CAAAAGGCUCUUUUCAGACCCACCCACUCUUUCAAGUAAAAGAGG
Molecule: non-coding RNA, 45 nt
Organism: Myotis davidii
Lineage: Eukaryota; Metazoa; Chordata; Mammalia; Chiroptera; Vespertilionidae
Source: Rfam